Non-coding RNA from Equus caballus (horse), 3141 nucleotides. NCBI's taxonomy places the organism in Eukaryota, Metazoa, Chordata, Mammalia, Perissodactyla, Equidae. The record is from RefSeq and is a predicted model, not a curated record.
GGGUGACCUUCGUUCAGGGAAACUGGAUGGUUUGUCAGGGAUGUCCUGAAGAUGGUUUCCCCGUGACACCUCCGGUGGGCCACGGCGAUGCUGUGACUCGCUCGCUCGCUCGGGUCCUGAGCACUUACUGAUGGCCACGUCCCGAUGCCCUCCCUUGAUUGUGACUCCAUCACUCCAUGGGAACAGACGAGAGCGUGGCUGCUUCACUGCUCCAUGCCGUCAACCCUCCGCCUCCUACCCUGCCCAAGACAGGAAGGCCAAAGUCGGGCCCUGAGCCACCACCAAGGAACGUCGUGGGACUGACCACAGGGAGGGUUAGGGACAUGAUAAUAGGAGGUGGACGAGAGAGGGAUGGGCCAACUGGAAAGGGGCCUGACCUUCUCAGAGAUCGCAGAGGCCAGAGGCCACCUCUGGCAACGCAGCCCCCGACCCCACGGGGCCCUGGGCGCCCGGCACCCACAGCCCCGAGGCCCACGGCCGCAGGGGGCCAAGCGUGGCCGAGCUGCCCAGCCGGAGCUGCAGCCUUUGCACUCAAGGGGCAGUGCCCAGCGAGGGGCCAGCAGUGUCCCCGUGGUCCUGCAGAUGUGAGAAGGGAGCCCGACGCCCAGGUGGCGAGCAGAGAGAAAACAGCAGGUCGAUGAAGCCAGUCUUAAGUGUGAUCUCCAUUCCUGCCCAGCGCUCUGGCGCAAGCCCAGGAGAGUCUCCCGGCUCUGGGAUCCAGAAUGACUCCCAGUGGGAGGUGGUUCUUCUGUUGACCUGGCUCCCUUGGUGGUCUGAGGUUGUCACCCUCAGGGCUGAAUUUGUGAGCAGUGUGUGUGCACGAGUCUGUGUGUGUGUGUGCACACAUGCUCAACUGGAGACCCACAGGAUUUCAGCUCUUCUGAGGCACCUAGAAGCUGACACGCUGGGUAGUGAGACGAGCAGCCGGGUGAGAAUGUAACAAACGUUGUAUGAAAGAAAUCGACUUUGUUACCGACUGGCUUGAGGGAGGGACGACUGUGUUGUCUGGAAGUGUUAGGUUCAUUUUAUAUUUGUGUCGGGAGAAAUGUUCAGCUCUGGUGCAGACACUGGUGGCAGCCAGACCACGCUUGACUCCCUGGGUUGAAAUUGAGAGAAAACUUAUAGGAUCAGACAGAUACGCUUUUCUUUGGUGGGUGCAGGGUUUCUGCUGGGCACUGCGCUAUUAAUCAGCCCCUGUCCAAGAAGAACUCAUCCUUUCUGUUGUCAUUAAAGGUCAGUUACUUAUUCACGUGGACAAGACUUGGGGCCAGUUGACUGCUUCCCUAGCUGAGGCUGAUGUCAGGGUUUUCAUCUCAAGUCUGAAAUCUUGUUUAACCUUCCAUCCAUAGUUUUGUCUCGUUCUGAUGACUGCAUCCUCUUGGCACAUUUGUUGUACUCAGAACCGAAUGGCAAACAAUAGUCUUGCAUUAAUAAAAGCCACCACGGAGCUCUGGGUGAGCUUCCAGUUUGAAGGCUGAUAGACUGUAGAGGCGUCAGAUGCACUCCGUAACCCCGAGCACUGCCCGUGGGCCUGUGCUCCGCUGGGGAGCUCCUGCCCCGACGUACACCUGCACAGGACAGCAGCUGUGCGAGUUGGCCGUUUAGGAUCUAAAGAUGUGCAUUUAAAACCCAGCUUCACAUUCCUUGUGUUUCUUUGGACCAUUGUGCUUUUGCAUGUUGUACCUAUGUCUGGAGUAGUUCAUAUGCCCUCACCACACGCUCCAGACACUCAAUCAGAGCUUUGUAAUUAAAAAAAGCAAACUCUACAGGAAAGAGAAGCAUGUAAAUAUGUACCAGUGCUUAUGAAGCUGUUAUGGUUUAUAUGUAAAGAGUAUUUACACAGCAAAGGGAAAAUGGCUCAGUGAAUGUUUUAAAUAACUCUCCAUGUACCAGACUGUAUUUGUGUCCCUGCCGUGUUCCUGUAAGCACACGGUUAUUUGCAAUGUCAAUUCUUUAGACAUCAUUGUUUUUAUUCGUGUAUCACAGGCACCUUCUUUUCAUCUGAUUACAAAAUCCAGCAUUUCAGGACUGGGCUUUUGCCAAAACAAAAGGCAAGUAUGAACAUUUGUCACUGAUUCCUGCUGGUCCAGUGAGCAUCUGAAGAAUUCAAGUGUUUUAAAAUAAUGUGCAUUUUCUAAACCCUGGAGUAUACCUUUUAUUCAAAGUCAGUGGGCUGGAUUGAAUUUCCUGCAAGUAUUUGUGCUCUCUGACUGCUAGCUCUUCAAGCAGGGGAGUCUGUGUGUAAAUGCAUCGCUUCCUGAUGAAGCAAGAGGAGGGACCCGAAACGUUGCCAGAAAUGUUUACUGUGUAACCAAGACAUGGACAUGUGUACAGCGUCACAAUUAUCAACAUAAUCACACUGUGUGCACAAUACCCAGAACGACAUAAAUAUUUUCAUUUGUCUAAGCUAGAAAUCCAUGUAAAUUGCAGCUUCCUUGUUGACACAGAUGUGUGUGAACCUCGUUUCCACAGUCUGGCGUGCCAGUUGCUGAAGGACUGUGGCUCUUCCUUAAAGUGAUCUGCCCUCGAAGAACCCAUAGCCUUCAGGACCCGCUGCGUGCCUUACACGGCUGGUGAACACCAACGCUGGAAGUCAGGAAGGAGGGAGUGCCGGGAGUGGGUUUGGAGGCAUGUGACAUUAAUCUACAUUUCCCAUCACCCCAUCAUUGAAACCUUAAGAUGGCUUGUGUGUUUUAACACAGUAAUGGGUUUAUGUUUAGGCUCAGGAAAAUCAAGGUGUAAAUAUAUGUAUCAAAUCAUAUAUUUGUUUACUGUAUAUUUUUAAAAGCUUUACUGUAAAUUUAUGCAAAAACAAAUUAGGACUCGUUUUUCUCCUGGCACCAUGCCGGGGCAGCAUUUGUGUUCUCUGAAGCAAUUCCUUAAUAACCACAUUCUAAACGUGAUAUUCUGUUCAGUGCUAAACAGUAUUUACAGGCCUAAAAUAGGUUUGUAUGGUGAUCAACUACAAAAUUUUACACAUAUUUUUGUAUUGUGAUUCCUAUGAUAUAUACCAGAGAAUUUUUACUUAUUUGUAAAUUACUGUACAGUUUUAAUAAAAAAAAGAUUGUUUUAAAUCUUAGAAUAUCAAAGUUCCCCUCCUCACAAGGCAUUAAAGUUUGGACUUAUCGGCUAUGUUAGCCA